Molecule: long non-coding RNA, 847 nt
Organism: Oncorhynchus keta (chum salmon)
Lineage: Eukaryota; Metazoa; Chordata; Actinopteri; Salmoniformes; Salmonidae
Exons: 3
Source: RefSeq, a predicted model, not a curated record
AUCUACAGCUGCUGGGACGAUUAGCUUCCCAGCCAGAGAAAUCUUAGGCCAUCAUGACGCCGGCAGAAACACACUGUCAAAGGCCACCGUCAGAUUGAGGCUUGGGUAAUUGUAUCUGCUGUGAAGUUAAUGACUUUUAAGAUGAGUGGGCCUGAUUCAACCUGGAACCCACACUGAACCAAUAUCCGAUAUGCUCCCUUCUCCCCCGUCACCACACUGACGACUCUGUGAGGCAAAUGUGCUUUCGCCCACCUGCGACGGGGAGACAAAGGUGCCUUUUGCCAAACUCCAAGAGGGCUGUCAUGUGCAUUUUACCGAGUUGUGGCUUCCGUCUGGACACUACCAUAAAAGCCUGAUUGGUGGAUUGCUGCAGAGAAGGUUGUCCUUCUGGAAGGUUCUAACAUCUCCACAGAAGAACUCUGGAGCUCUGUCAGAGUGACCAUCGGGUUCAUGGUCACCUCCCUUACCAAGGCCCGUCUCCCCCGAUUGCUCAGUUUGGCAAGGCGGCCAGCUCUCGGAAGAGUGUUGGUGGGUCCAAACUUCUUCUAUUCAGGAAUGAUGGAGGCCACUGUGUUCCUUCAAUGCUGCAGGACUCUUCCCCAGUACUCUGCCUCGACACUAAGAUGUCUCAGAGCUCUAAGGACAAUUCCUUCGACCUCAUUACUUGAAUUAUACUCUAACAUGCACUGUCAACUGUGGGACCUUAUAUAUCCUUAUAUAGGUGUGUGCCUUUCCAAGCCAUUUCUAAUCAAUUUAAUUUACCACAGAUGGACUCCAAUCAAGUUGUAGAAACAUCAAGGAUGGUCAAUGGAAACAGGAUGUACCUGAGCUUAAUUCUGAGUCUUAU